Molecule: non-coding RNA, 21 nt
Filed under: Arabidopsis thaliana (thale cress)
Lineage: Eukaryota; Viridiplantae; Streptophyta; Magnoliopsida; Brassicales; Brassicaceae
Source: RNAcentral
UCUGGGUGUUGCGGUUGAUCG